This 1088-nucleotide ribosomal RNA is filed under the name uncultured bacterium. RNAcentral's name for it is "bacterial SSU rRNA". It matches the Rfam family "Bacterial small subunit ribosomal RNA", at positions 8 to 1104 of the family's 1533-position model. The record is from RNAcentral.
AGAGUUUGAUCCUGGCUCAGGAUGAACGCUGGCGGCGUGCUUAACACAUGCAAGUCACGGGGGCCCAGCAAUGGGCAACCGGCGAACGGGUGCGUAACACGUGAGCAACCUACCUAAAUCUGGGGGAUAGCCGGCCCAACGGCCGGGUAAUACCGCAUACGCUCUAGACCAGGCAUUUGGACUAGAGGAAACCUCCGGGGGAUUUUGAGGGGCUCGCGGCCUAUCAGCUAGUUGGUGAGGUAACGGCUCACCAAGGCGACGACGGGUAGCUGGUCUGAGAGGAUGGCCAGCCACAUUGGGACUGAGAUACGGCCCAGACUCCUACGGGAGGCAGCAGUGGGGAAUCUUGCGCAAUGGCCUAACGGCUGACGCAGCGACGCCGCGUGAGGGAUGACGCUCUUCGGAGUGUAAACCUCUUUUGCCUGAGACGAAUUGCCAGCUUCAGCUGGUUUGACUGUAUCGGGUGAAUAAGCACCGGCUAACUCCGUGCCAGCAGCCGCGGUAAUACGGGGGGUGCGAGCGUUGUCCGGAAUCACUGGGCGUAAAGGGCGCGUAGGUGGUCUGAUAAGGGUGUGGUGAAAGCCCGGGGCUCAACCCCGGGUCGGCCGUGCCGACUGUCAGACUGGAGUACUGUAGGGGCAGGCGGAAUUCCGGGUGUAGCGGUGGGAUGCGUAGAGAUCCGGAGGAAGACCGGUGGCGAAGGCGGCCUGCUGGGCAGUUACUGACACUGAGGCGCGACAGCGUGGGGAGCAACCAGGAUUAGAUACCCUGGUAGUCCACGCCGUAAACGAUGGGUACUAGGUGCCUGGGGGAGCGACCCCUUGGGUGCCGGCGCUAACGCAGGAAGUACCCCGCCUGGGGAGUACGGCCGCAAGGCUGAAACUCAAAGGAAUUGACGGGGGCCCGCACAAGCGGCGGAGCAUGUGGUUUAAUUCGACGCAACGCGAAGAACCUUACCUAGGCUUGACAUGCAUGGGAAACUCCUCAGAAACGAGGAGCCUCCUUCGGGAUCCAUGCACAGGUGCUGCAUGGCUGUCGUCAGCUCGUGUCGUGAGAUGUUGGGUUAAGUCCCGCAACGAGCGCAACCC